Molecule: long non-coding RNA, 218 nt
Filed under: Capsicum annuum
Lineage: Eukaryota; Viridiplantae; Streptophyta; Magnoliopsida; Solanales; Solanaceae
Description: long non-coding RNA (CANN_LNC012448)
Source: RNAcentral
GUGCCACGGGUACUAACGUUAGCUGUGUGGAUCCACUAAUGUGAUGUCAUGAAGGACAAGGCCGUCAUGCCUAACUAAGGGGGGACCCCUCAAAGUUUACAGUGGUGCCGUAGGUCUGGAACUUAGGGACUUAUACUAACGCCUCAUGCCUACAAAUGGGGGAGGCAAGUGCAUCAUGCCAAACUGACGAGGGAGACGCCAUCCCUUUAUUCACUCCG